UGGGGAAUUUUGGACAAUGGGCGCAAGCCUGAUCCAGCAAUGCCGCGUGCAGGAUGAAGGCCUUCGGGUUGUAAACUGCUUUUGUACGGAGCGAAAAGGUCUGCCCUAAUACGGUGGGCUCAUGACGGUACCGUAAGAAUAAGCACCGGCUAACUACGUGCCAGCAGCCGCGGUAAUACGUAGGGUGCGAGCGUUAAUCGGAAUUACUGGGCGUAAAGCGUGCGCAGGCGGUUAUAUAAGACAGAUGUGAAAUCCCCGGGCUCAACCUGGGAACUGCAUUUGUGACUGUAGAGCGAGAGUACGGUAGAGGAGGAUGGAAUUCCACGUGUAGCAGUGAAAUGCGUAGAUAUGCGGAGGAACACCGAUGGCGAAGGCAAUCCCCUGGACCUGUACUGACGCUCAUGCACGAAAGCGUGGGGAGCAAACA
This 427-nucleotide ribosomal RNA is filed under the name uncultured bacterium. Its description in RNAcentral is "bacterial SSU rRNA". It matches the Rfam family "Bacterial small subunit ribosomal RNA", at positions 355 to 774 of the family's 1533-position model. The record is from RNAcentral.